UACGGAGGGUGCAAACGUUGCUCGGAAUCACUGGGCGUAAAGCGCACGUAGGCGGAUCUUUAAGUCAGGGGUGAAAUCCUGGAGCUCAACUCCAGAACUGCCUUUGAUACUGGGGAUCUCGAGUCCGGGAGAGGUGAGUGGAACUGCGAGUGUAGAGGUGAAAUUCGUAGAUAUUCGCAAGAACACCAGUGGCGAAGGCGGCUCACUGGCCCGGUACUGACGCUGAGGUGCGAAAGCGUGGGGAGCAAACAGG
RNAcentral lists this ribosomal RNA (253 nucleotides) under uncultured bacterium. RNAcentral describes it as "partial 16S ribosomal RNA". It matches the Rfam family "Bacterial small subunit ribosomal RNA", at positions 524 to 776 of the family's 1533-position model. The record is from RNAcentral.